This 64-nucleotide transfer RNA is filed under the name Campanulotes compar (small pigeon louse). RNAcentral's name for it is "tRNA-Val". Lineage: Eukaryota; Metazoa; Arthropoda; Insecta; Psocodea; Philopteridae. The record is from RNAcentral.
GAAGAAAUAGUUUAAAAAAAAAUGUCUUAUUUACGCUAAGAGGAUUUCUUUAUGAGUUUCUUUU